CGAGCACGCGCGUGUGGCAUAUCAAUAAGCGGAGGAAAAGAAACUAACAAGGAUUCCCUUAGUAACGGCGAGUGAAGCGGGAAGGGCUCAAAUUUGAAAUCUUCAAGGUUCUACCUUGACGAAUUGUAGUUUAUAGAAGUGUUUUCUGUUAGUAGAGUGGCAAAAGUUCUUUGGAAUAGGACAUCAUAGAGGGUGAGAUUCCCGUAUUUGGUCAUUCCUCUCUAGCUUUGUGAUACACUUUCAACGAGUCGGAUUGUUUGGGAAUGCAGUCCAAAAUGGGUGGUAAAUUUCAUCUAAAGCUAAAUAUUGGCGAGAGACCGAUAGCGAACAAGUACCGUGAGGGAAAGAUGAAAAGAACUUUGAAAAGAGAGUUAAACAGUACGUGAAAUUGUCAAAAGGGAAGCGUUUGACACCAGUGUUGUUUUUCCGAAAAUCAAUUACGAAUGUUUUGUUUUUAGAGAGUUAUGACUUCAUCGGCUUGCUUCUUCUUUACGAAACUUUCUUAAUGCACUUUUCGGUUAACAAGUCAACAUCAAUUUCUUUUGUUGUAAAAGGGUAUGAGGAAGGUGGCUUUCUUUUCGGAGAAAGUGUUUAUAGCCUUGUACCUCUGCAAUCGGAGAGAUUGAGGUCUGCAGCGUAGAUCCUUCGGGGUUAGAUACAUUUGUGCUAAGUUAUAGCUUUUCAUAGACAACUUGUUGGACUAUGUUAAGUCUUGUAGCUUACUCGCCUACUGCUAUUUUACCUACGCUUAGGAUGUUGAACUCUAUCACACACAG
Molecule: ribosomal RNA, 776 nt
Filed under: uncultured Neocallimastigales
Lineage: Eukaryota; Fungi; Neocallimastigomycota; Neocallimastigomycetes; Neocallimastigales
Description: partial large subunit ribosomal RNA
Rfam family: Eukaryotic large subunit ribosomal RNA
Source: RNAcentral